RNAcentral lists this ribosomal RNA (253 nucleotides) under uncultured bacterium. RNAcentral's name for it is "partial 16S ribosomal RNA". It matches the Rfam family "Bacterial small subunit ribosomal RNA", at positions 524 to 776 of the family's 1533-position model. The record is from RNAcentral.
UACGGGGGGAGCAAGCGUUGUUCGGAUUUACUGGGCGUAAAGGGUGCGUAGGUGGUCGGGUAAGUCUCAUGUGAAAUCCCGCAGCUUAACUGCGGAACGGCAUGGGAUACUAUUCGGCUCGAGGAUUGGAGGGGGGACUGGAAUUCCCGGUGUAGCAGUGAAAUGCGUAGAUAUCGGGAGGAACACCAGUGGCGAAGGCGAGUCCCUGGACAAUUCCUGACGCUGAGGCACGAAAGCCAGGGGAGCAAACAGG